GACGAACGCUGGCGGCGUGCCUAAUACAUGCGAGUAGAACGCUGAAGAGAGGAGCUUGCUCUUCUUGGAUGAGUUGCGAACGGGUGAGUAACGCGUAGGUAACCUGCCUUGUAGCGGGGGAUAACUAUUGGAAACGAUAGCUAAUACCGCAUAACAAUGGAUGACACAUGUCAUUUAUUUGAAAGGGGCAAUUGCUCCACUACAAGAUGGACCUGCGUUGUAUUAGCUAGUAGGUGAGGUAAUGGCUCACCUAGGCGACGAUACAUAGCCGACCUGAGAGGGUGAUCGGCCACACUGGGACUGAGACACGGCCCAGACUCCUACGGGAGGCAGCAGUAGGGAAUCUUCGGCAAUGGGGGCAACCCUGACCGAGCAACGCCGCGUGAGUGAAGAAGGUUUUCGGAUCGUAAAGCUCUGUUGUAAGUCAAGAACGGGUGUGAGAGUGGAAAGUUCACACUGUGACGGUAGCUUACCAGAAAGGGACGACUAACUACGU
RNAcentral lists this ribosomal RNA (496 nucleotides) under uncultured bacterium. RNAcentral's name for it is "partial 16S ribosomal RNA". It matches the Rfam family "Bacterial small subunit ribosomal RNA", at positions 28 to 506 of the family's 1533-position model. The record is from RNAcentral.